GAUGAAGAACGUAGCGAAAUGCGAUACGUAAUGUGAAUUGCAGAAUUCAGUGAAUCAUCGAGUCUUUGAACGCACAUUGCGCCCCCUGGUAUUCCGGGGGGCAUGCCUGUCCGAGCGUCAUUGCUGCCCUCAAGCACGGCUUGUGUGUUGGGCCUCCGUCCUCCUCCCGGGGGACGGGCCCGAAAGGCAGCGGCGGCACCGCGUCCGGUCCUCGAGCGUAUGGGGCUUCGUCACCCGCUCUUGUAGGCCCGGCCGGCGCUUGCCGACACAUCAAUCUUUUUUCCAGGUUGACCUCGGAUCAGGUAGGGAUACCCGCUGAACUUAAGCAUAUCAAUAAGCGGGA
RNAcentral lists this unclassified non-coding RNA (343 nucleotides) under soil metagenome. Its description in RNAcentral is "partial contains 5.8S ribosomal RNA, internal transcribed spacer 2, and large subunit ribosomal RNA". The stretch from base 1 to 120 matches the Rfam family "5.8S ribosomal RNA", at positions 35 to 154 of the family's 154-position model. The record is from RNAcentral.